CGAAAGCCUGACGGAGCAAGACCGCGUGAGGGAGGAAGGCUCUUGGGUUGUAAACCUCUUUUCUCAGGGAAGAAGCUCUGACGGUACCUGAGGAAUCAGCCUCGGCUAACUCCGUGCCAGCAGCCGCGGUAAUACGGAGGAGGCAAGCGUUAUCCGGAAUUAUUGGGCGUAAAGCGUCCGCAGGUGGCKAUUCAAGUCUGCUGUCAAAGCACGGGGCUYAACUCCGUUAAGGCAGUGGAAACUGAAUAGCUAGAGUGCWGUAGGGGUAGAGGGAAUUCCCGGUGUAGCGGUGAAAUGCGUAGAGAUCGGGAAGAACAYCGGUG
Molecule: ribosomal RNA, 323 nt
Filed under: uncultured cyanobacterium
Lineage: Bacteria; Bacillati; Cyanobacteriota
Description: bacterial SSU rRNA
Rfam family: Bacterial small subunit ribosomal RNA
Source: RNAcentral